This 24-nucleotide non-coding RNA is filed under the name Arabidopsis thaliana (thale cress). Lineage: Eukaryota; Viridiplantae; Streptophyta; Magnoliopsida; Brassicales; Brassicaceae. The record is from RNAcentral.
UUAACAUGUGUGAUUGGUUGGUCA